GAUCUUAGUACUUGAAGAUAAUGUCAAAUUACAUUCGCUUAAGCAUAUACCCUCGUAUUAAAAUAGAGUUGAGAUUAGUUUUCAUUUGUCAGUAUUGGUCGGUUCAAAUAGGAGUAUCUCAUAUUUCUAUUACUCUUAUUCGACAUUGAAUGUCAUAUAUAUAAAAUUACAAUUCAACAUGUAUCUAGCAUUCUAUAGAAAUGUGAUAAGUACGUUAAACACUUUGGACCUAUAACAAAAACACAUUCCGGUGCAUCAUUUGGACCAAACAAAUCUAAAUUCCUGCAAGUUGAAUCAAUCAAAUAGAGUCACAGUAUAUUUUGGGAAAAACUUUUGCAGGAAGAUUAUGAAAAAAUUAAAGGAAUAAAAAAAAAAUAGGAGCAGACAACUGGCAAAUUAUAUCCCAAAGCUUAACAUAGUAACACAUCAUUCCUAAAGUCAGGGGGAAAUAAUCUCUCCUACCUUCAUGAUGCAGGUGUUGUUGAGAUCUUCACAUGUUUAUUCCGAAAUAACCACUUCUGCAAGAGUGGAGGUAAGUUAUAUAAUAAACAUAUUUAUGUAUAAUGAAAUCCAUUGCCAGCAUAGUCUAAUGCUCUAAAUGAAGUUGGAAGAAGGUAGUAGUGCGAAGGCAUAAAAUUAAAGGUUAUUUACAUUUAGCCCUAACAAUAUUUGUGUUGUGCACAAAACCUCAAAAUUAAAAUACGUGCUUCCAUACCUUCAAGCUUUAAUGUUUUUCAUUUGUACAACCUGACCCUUUUUUCAAAUGUUUCUUGUAAAUAUUCCCUUCACCGUAAAACAUAUGUAUGACUCCAAAUAAAUUUCCUUCCCCGAAAAAAGUUGUUGGGUGUCCUGCCAUUUUAUUUUGCAAACUGUAUUAAUUGAGCUUUAUUUUCUAUCCUGCAGUGAAGAAUAUUUAUAUAAUUAAAUUAUAAAAAAGGGUCAUGGUGUACAAAUGUGAAACAUAUAAGGCAUGGAGGUAGAUUUUCAAACUUUGAGGGCUUAUGUGUACAGAAACGGAUACUGUAAGGGCUAUAAGAUAAAUAACCCUUAAUGUAAAUUCAAAUAUCUCAUGAAGACUGUAAAAUAUACUUGACAUGUAUCAAAGGAAGCUAACCUGUUUAUGUCGUUAUAACUUUUCUUCUUUGUAUCAAGUUCAAAUAUUAUAUUUCCCAGUGUCACAUCAAACAAGAAUGCAGAUUCUGGACAUUGUUAACGAGGAGACAUCCAAUUUUUACCAGCACUCCAUUCCAGACAAACAUCUAUUGACAAACGAAAAAAUAAAAUAACUUCAAUCUUCUUACAAAAAGAUAAGGAAUAUUGGUGUGGUUAACAAAGCAUUACGACACUAGACAGGGAACCAGAUAUUACUGAAUCAGAACUUGUGGGAGAUAAAGCAAGUGCAAUUUAGCUAGCUGGCUGAAUUUUAGAACAACAAUUUGUCUUUCUUUUUGUACACACAUAAUUGACUCGAAUGACAUGUCCUAAAAUUACUAUAAAACAGCAAUAUGAUAUUAUAGAAGACCAAUGUUAGUUGAGAUAAUAUUUGGAUCAUUACUUUUAAGAUGAAUGAUACAUUUACGCACAUCGACUAUGUAUACAGAUAAGCUGAAGAAAAAAUUUUGGGGGUGAACUUAACAAGGUAUUCUCUGCAAGCAAUUUUAACUUUUAUUCUGUAACACAUUCUCAAUAUUAUAAAUAUGACUACAAUCUGGUUUCUUAUGGUGAUAAACAUGUCACUAAAAAUAUAAUAAUGAAAUGCAAACAUUAAAACUCGAAUAAUCAAUCACAUCAAAGAAGAAAACAAAUGGCUUGUUGGCCUCUAUGGAAGCAAGAAAUAUAAAGUGAUAUUGAUGUAGAUGCAUGUAUAUAUAGUGUGGAUCCAGCGAAUGAUCAUCGCUGGAGAGACAGAGAAAAAAAGAUUGACAUAUAUAUACUCAGGGACUGAGGAUGGCAAACUGUAAUAUGGAGGACACAUUUGGAUCCUCCAAAACAACAGUUAGUAAAACAGUUCAACAUACUAGUGUAAAGAAAGACGACGAAAAUGAUGCAGUGGUGCACAAAGAGAUGAAUACCCAUGAUGGAAAAAUAUUUAUUGACAAGUUCUUUGAGAUUCCAGAGGAAGACAAUGAUAAGUUCUUGAGAAAGAUUAGAACACGGAUGGACAAGUAAGUGCUUUACUCAAUCACUGAUAGGAUGUAGACUUUGAUACCAUUACGUAUGUAUAUAUGACAGCAAAUUCCUACUACCUUUAUUAACUCGAUUUGGCAUGAGUUGGUGUAGAGCAGGGAUUGACUUGCCAAAAGUAGAAGUCAGGUUUCAGAAUUUAAGUGUGGAAGGCAAUUGCUUGAUCGGAGAUCGAGCACUUCCCACCUUGCCAAAUGUUGCUUGGAAUGUUGCCGAAUCAGCCCUGAGUGGCUGCCUUGGGAUUAAAUUAGCAGGGCAAGCAAAACACAUGAUUCUAAAAGAUGCAAGUGGCAUCAUUAAACCAGCAAGGUAUUGGCAUACACUUAAAUACAUAUAUCGAUAAACAUACAUAUGAACAAGAUGCAUGCAAAGAUCGACUAUACUAAGAUUGAUAAAUAUAUCGACAGAUAUUAGUGAAUCCCCUCAAAAUUUUCAAAUGUUGUGACAGGAUGACACUCCUACUAGGCCCACCUUCUUCUGGGAAAACAACCCUCUUAUUGGCUCUUGCUGGCAUGCUGAACUCUACCUUAAAAGUUAGUUACAAUCUCCUUUUUUUCAUACCUCUUUAUGUCUUGGUUAAAAAAAAUUCCUAAUGACUUGUCUCGAUAUACAGAUUUGUCAAACAUUUUUGAAAACUGUAUAAAAAAGCUCUUAUUUUUGUACCACACAUUCCUUGCUACAGGUUACAGGCGAAAUCACUUACAAUGGGUAUAGACUGGACGAAUUUGUGCCACAGAAAACAUCAUCAUACAUUAGCCAGACUGAUAUUCAUGACGGACAAAUGACCGUAAAAGAGACCUUAAAUUUUUCUUCCAGGUGCCAGGGUGUUGGACCACGAUAUGGUACUUUAUUAAGCUUGCAAAUGAAGUCCUUCACAUUAUCAGCCUCAUUUAUCACUACAAUUCAUCUGCUAGUAGGUAAAUAUUUCAGUUGAUAUUAUGGAAAUUGAUCACUAUAAAAAAAUUGUAGAACUCCUAACUGAGCUUGAAAGGAAGGAAAAGGAAGCUGGGAUAGUUCCUGAUCCUGAGGUUUCUUAUUUCAUGAAGGUACUAUAUUUAGUCAUGCUAUUCCUAAGGGAAAACAUACGGUAAUUUUCCAAGUGCAAUUGCUUUUUAUUGACUUUGUAUUGUUAAACUUUUGACUGUCAAAGCAAACAGCAACAGGAGGAGUUGAAAACUGUUUUAUUACAGAGUAUACUCUAAAAGUAAGUUGGGACACUUUUGUUUAAAUAAAUAUUAGAUAAACUUGCUUAAAUGUGUUGGGACUUUUUAUACUUCCCAACAAAACGUCCUAAUAUAUAUAAAAAGUAUAUGUAACUAUGUCUUCUUACUACCGACUACUACAGAUCUUGGGACUUGAUAAAUGCCGAGACACUAUUGUGGGGAAUGAAAUGCACCGAGGAAUAUCAGGGGGCGAGAAAAAGAGAGUCACUAUAGGUCAAUUUCUUCCCAUUUCCUUUGUAUUAUCCCUAAAUUUCGACAACAGUUUGAAAGGAUCUAAUUGCUACUAAUUUCAAAAAGUGACAUCAGAGCUAAUCAACAAUGUACUAAAUGAUGACUAAUUUCUAAGAAAAGGAUGAUGCUUAUUUAAGUAGUCACUGUUGCUAAAGCAGAAAAGAGUUCACCUAACCAACUUGCCUGGAGUUAGAUUGUGCUUAAAAGUUAACAGUUUCUUCAGAAUGUUCUUGUCAAAAUUCAGGAAAUUUAUAUGCGUUCAGAUUUUUGUCAUAAUUCACAGGGUAAACUAACACCUCGUACACAACAAUGUUCAACACACACACACACACACACACACACACACACACACACACACACACACAUUGUGAAAUUUUGCUUGCUUAACCAGUGUGCAUCAUUUCAUUAAAAAGAACAAGCAAUUACAGAUGUUCAAACUUCAAAUAUUGUUUAGUUCAUCUUAUAAAAUGUACUUACAGGAGAGAUGAUUGUUGGGCCAACAAAGACUCUAUUUAUGGACGACAUAUCCACAGGCCUUGACAGCUCCACAGCAUUUCAGAUAGUGAAAUGCUUGCAGCAGAUUGUCCACCAGACAGAAGCUACAGUGUUAAUUUCCCUCCUUCAGCCAGACCCAGAGAUAUUCAAUCUCU
This 4288-nucleotide long non-coding RNA is filed under the name Daucus carota (carrot). RNAcentral's name for it is "long non-coding RNA (DCAR_LNC001494)". Lineage: Eukaryota; Viridiplantae; Streptophyta; Magnoliopsida; Apiales; Apiaceae. The record is from RNAcentral.